UCCUAGGCAAACGUCUAAGUUCUGUACCUCUCCCUACUUACCACCCACUGAGAGUGAUAGAUUCAGCUUGACUAGACCUGGCUUAAAAUGAUCAACUGAAAGAGAAAAUCUGACCUCUGCCCCCAUCCUGUCACUUGACUGAUUCCUGAGGCCUUUGGCCUAAUUGUCUCAGAUCUGCAAUGUGCUCAUGUCUCCUCUGAUUUUCUUACUGCGGCUGUCACCUCCAAUAUGGAAAGAAAAAUGAACGAUAAUGUUGUGAUGGGCUGGGCUACCAUGUUAUACCCUAUUUACAGGCCCUUUCUAGUCCAAGAAGUCACCACAAUUUUUUCAAAAGGAGAGGAGAGAGUGGGUUAACCUGGCUUGGGAACUAACAAGUCAUGAAAACUGUCAGCACCUUUGAUUGAUUGUGCGCUGUGAAAGCACAGGAUAUCUCUUCUUUGCAUGGGGCUGUAAGACAAAGGGUGGUCUUCUGUGGCCCAUGGUUCCUCCACAGAGGCAUCGUUAGAGAAGGCCACUCAAGCAAAGGGAAGAAUUGGUGACAGAGCAAGGCAGGUGGCUGAGUUCUGACUAGUCCCUGGUUUCAGAGCAUUGUGUCAGUCAUCUCUCUUUUGUAACUGGGCUGGGAGUUAGAGGCUUUAUUCAGUCCCAAGUGCGAGAAAGGGAACUUUUACUAGAGGGCAUGGCCUUGUGAGGCAAGGGAAGAAAGUAUCUUCUGCCAGCUGGGGCAGGGAACAGAGGUGAGUCAGAACGGCUUGUGGAGAAUGGUAUUCCCCUCUGGGGGACACAGGGCCACUUGUAAAAUUACGUCUAGAUGUUGGUUUACAGCCAAGCUUCUCAACCUUAGCUGCAUAUUGGAAUCACCUGGGAGGCUUUUACAAUCUUGCUGUCCAGGCCCCUCCUCAGACCAAUUAUAUCAGGAUCUCGGGGGUGGGAACCAGGCUGAGGGAGCUGUCAAGGCUCCCCAGGUCACUUCAGUGUACAUUCAGGCUUGAGGCCCACUGAUCUAGGACCUUGCUAAUCAAAGUGUGGCCUGAGGACCAGCAGCAUUGAUAUCCCCUGGGACUUGAGAGACGUGCAGAAUCUCAGGCCCUAUCCCAACCCCAAGUCAGCACCUGCAUUUUAGCAAGGUCCCUGGGAGAUCUGAAGUCCAUUAAAGUAUAAGGAGUUGUGGUUCUCAAACUUUGCUGCACAUUAAAAUCACCUAGGGAGCUUUUAAAAAUCCAAUGCCCAGGCUGCACCUCGUACCAAUUAAAUCAGAAUUUUUGAGGGUGGGAUGCAAGCAUCAGUAGUUUUUUAUUGGUUCUCAGGUGAUUCUG
Molecule: non-coding RNA, 1316 nt
Organism: Manis javanica (Malayan pangolin)
Lineage: Eukaryota; Metazoa; Chordata; Mammalia; Pholidota; Manidae
Source: RefSeq, a predicted model, not a curated record